GAGAAACAUUGGGCUCAGCUCCAGACAGGCUUAUUUCCCUCUUCCAUCUUGAGACGUUCUGGUGCUGAACAGCAUGAGUUUGCACAGCUAAAUAUUUAGGAGAAAGCAAUGAAGCUGCGUCACCAAAAAGCUCAGAGCAUCCCUCAGAACAGGAUGAGAUGAACUUAGUUUGUGCAGUCUUGGAGCAGGCUGAGAAGGGCCUAUACUUAAACCAUCAACUUCUGUGAUCACCGUAUUGUCUCAGUUGUGCUCAUUCCAGCAUCACUUGGGGAGCAUCUGGUGUGUUCUCCACAUGGGACAGUCACGUGGCUUGGACCUGACUUCAGGAUGGAGACUGCAAGGAUCUCUCACUCUUCCCCAGUGGCUUGGAGCAAAAGCCAACAUGGUUAGGAGGUGACUCCAGCGUGACGGGAGGUUUGCCACCCCAGUGCCCUCUGAAGACAUGUAAGCAAGAGACAACACUGCCUCCUGAGCAUCAAGCAACUACUGAUGUUCCUUCAGCAAAGACGCCUGCCUCAAAGUGGACAGAAGGGAGAAAACAUUUGCAUGUCUCUUUGUGAAGAACUCGCAGUACUGACCGGAUCCAGCCUGAGAAGAGGCAACGGCCAAAAACCAAAGAAACCAAACAAAUAAAAAUGCACGAUGGGCUAAUAUAAACAGCAUGUCAAGAGGGAAGUAGCUUACAGUGCUCAUGUACCAAUAAGAGCCAUU
This 711-nucleotide long non-coding RNA is filed under the name Phasianus colchicus (ring-necked pheasant). RNAcentral's name for it is "lncRNA (ENSPCLG00000005547.1)". The record is from RNAcentral. Lineage: Eukaryota; Metazoa; Chordata; Aves; Galliformes; Phasianidae.